This 253-nucleotide ribosomal RNA is filed under the name uncultured bacterium. RNAcentral describes it as "partial 16S ribosomal RNA". It matches the Rfam family "Bacterial small subunit ribosomal RNA", at positions 524 to 776 of the family's 1533-position model. The record is from RNAcentral.
UACGUAGGGUGCAAGCGUUGUCCGGAAUUAUUGGGCGUAAAGAGCUCGUAGGCGGUCUGUCGCGUCUGCUGUGAAAACUCAGGGCUUAACCCUGAGCUUGCAGUGGGUACGGGCAGACUAGAGUGUGGUAGGGGAGACUGGAAUUCCUGGUGUAGCGGUGAAAUGCGCAGAUAUCAGGAGGAACACCGAUGGCGAAGGCAGGUCUCUGGGCCACUACUGACGCUGAGAAGCGAAAGCGUGGGGAGCGAACAGG